This 425-nucleotide ribosomal RNA is filed under the name uncultured bacterium. RNAcentral describes it as "partial 16S ribosomal RNA". It matches the Rfam family "Bacterial small subunit ribosomal RNA", at positions 354 to 796 of the family's 1533-position model. The record is from RNAcentral.
GUUAGGAAUAUUGGACAAUGGGCGCAAGCCUGAUCCAGCCAUGCCGCGUGAGUGAUGAAGGCCUUCGGGUUGUAAAGCUCUUUAGCCGAUGAUUAUAAUGACUGUAGUCGGAAAAUAAGCCCCGGCUAACUUCGUGCCAGCAGCCGCGGUAAUACGAAGGGGGCGAGCGUUAUUCGGAAUCACUGGGCGUAAAGCGUGCGUAGGCGGCUUUGCAAGUUGGGAGUGAAAGUCCAGGGCUCAACCCUGGAAUUGCUCUCAAAACUGCAAGGCUCGAAUUCGGGAGAGGAUAGCGGAAUUGUCAGUGUAGCAGUGAAAUGCGUAGAUAUUGACAGGAACACCAGUGGCGUAAGCGGCUAUCUGGACCGAUAUUGACGCUGAGGCACGAAAGCGUGGGGAUCAAACAGGAUUAGAAACCCGGGUAGUCC